UCAGGCACAGUAAAUGUUUAUGUCAGAGAUCUGUUGCGCAUGCGUCGGUCAAAUGUGUUUUUUUGUCAUUUUUGCAUUCGUUUUCAGGGCACUGUUCGGUUGUGACAAACAGACGAACGACCUAAAUGUGAUUGAGACUGGAGAUGGGAGCAUCGAGGAAUUGGGCGAAGAGUUUAGCGGCAGUAAAAUACAAUACGGAUGGUGCAAAGUGACCGAUUCAAACACCAACCUGCCAAAGCUUGUUCUUAUCAACUGGUUUGGGGAGGCGGCACCGACAUCACGGAAAGGCGUCUGUCAACAUCAUGUCAAUGAUAUUGCCGGAUUUCUAAGGGGUGCUGACGUGACCAUCAAUGCUCGUCACGAAGGCAACGUGGAGGAGAAGGUCGUAUUAGAGAAAGUGUCGAAAUCGUCUGGAGCUCGUUAUGGCUUCCACAAGGAAAAGGCCAGACCAGUGGAACCAUCCGGUCCAGUGGGUUUGGUUUACAAGAAAGCCGACGUACGAGCUGAUAUUGAUGCAAACAAACGAGACAAGUUUUGGUCUGACCAAGAGAAACUUGAGAAGCAGUGCGUUCAAGAGGAACGUAAGGUAAAAAUUGAGGAAGCAAAGAAGCGGACAGUGAAAUCAAAGAGAGGGAGGCAAAAGAGACAACUUAGUGGAGAGAGAAAGCUGAACGUGAACGAUCAAUUGAUGCACAGAAACAGAAGCCGAGGUCGCUGCUGCAGACGAAGCCGCUCGACAGGCACAGGAAGCAGCCGAGCAAGCACUAGCUGAACAGAGAAAACUUGAGAAGCAGUGCGUUCAAGACGAACGUAAGGCAAGAGGAGGAAGCAAAGAAGCAAGACAGUGAAGUCGAAGAGAGGGAGGCAAGAGAGAGACAACUUUGUGGAGAGAGGGAAGCUGAACGUGCACAAGCAAUUGAUGCACAGAAGUGAGCUCGUGAAAGGGAAGAAUAUUGUAGACGUGAAAAAGAAGACAGAGCACAUUGCAAAGCUCGCAUGGAGCAGUUGGAUGCUUGAAACUGAGAGCAAGAAGCGGCUAGCACACGAGAAAAGACGAAGGUUUAAGCAGCAGGGAAGUGCAUUGAAUAGUUUGCUCCAGUCAUCACUAUUCACGUGGCACUGGUCAUUGCUAUGAAUUGAUGUUCAUGCAUGUUGGUGUGGUUUGCAUGCAACAUGCUGCAAAGUAAGCUAAACGUCUUGCAAAUGUAUUAUGGGAGACAUCAAGUGUCAGUUCUCAAAUGAAUGUAAGGUAGAUGAGUCUGUCUUAAAUACAAAGCAAGUGAAGAUGAUGAGAGAGGACACGAGCAGUAGGUUGUGAGUCUAGUCCAUCAUGGAGUCGUGCAGUGGAUCAAGAGAAGCAAGCAGUCAGCAGCCCAGCCGUCAGUUUGAAUAGUGGCAGAGUUUGCAAACGAGCAGACAGACUAGAUGUGUAAGUUAGAGGAGAGAUGGAGUGAUAGUGAGGCGUCUAGAUGAGGUGAGAGUAUGAGAGUGUCCAGUUGUAGGAGGUACACUGUAGUGUUGAAUUGAGUUUUGUUGAAUACAUUACUGUACUCACAAGUGCACGUGUCAUCUAGUU
Molecule: RNA transcript, 1576 nt
Organism: Corticium candelabrum
Lineage: Eukaryota; Metazoa; Porifera; Homoscleromorpha; Homosclerophorida; Plakinidae
Gene name: drebrin-like protein B
Exons: 14
Source: RefSeq, a predicted model, not a curated record